CCCAAUAUGUUGCCUUUAUCUGCAUUUGCACCUGCACUUUACUUUGGUUUUCUCUGAUAACGUAUUCAUGUUUAUAAUUAUCAUACAAACAUGGUACAAGAGACCAAGAACUAGGUGCAGGUGCAUCUGCAGGUGAAUCUCAUCUUGGU
This 149-nucleotide microRNA precursor is filed under the name Lupinus angustifolius (narrow-leaved blue lupine). RNAcentral's name for it is "pre miRNA MIR530". Lineage: Eukaryota; Viridiplantae; Streptophyta; Magnoliopsida; Fabales; Fabaceae. The record is from RNAcentral.